GUUGGCGACCAAAAUAGAGGGGAAACACCCGUUCUCAUCCGAACACGGAAGUUAAGGUCUCUAGUGAUCUGGUGUGUACUGCCUUUGGCGGGAAAUCCAGGAAGUUGCCAACU
Molecule: ribosomal RNA, 113 nt
Filed under: Candidatus Aenigmatarchaeota archaeon
Lineage: Archaea; Nanobdellati; Candidatus Aenigmatarchaeota
Source: RNAcentral